RNAcentral lists this ribosomal RNA (490 nucleotides) under uncultured bacterium. RNAcentral's name for it is "partial 16S ribosomal RNA". It matches the Rfam family "Bacterial small subunit ribosomal RNA", at positions 30 to 507 of the family's 1533-position model. The record is from RNAcentral.
AUUGAACGCUGGCGGCAGGCCUAACACAUGCAAGUCGAACGGUAACAGGAAGCAGCUUGCUGCUUUGCUGACGCGUGGCGGACGGGUGAGUAAUGUCUGGGAAACUGCCCGAUGGAGGGGGAUAACUACUGGAAACGGUAGCUAAUACCGCAUAACGUCGCAAGACCAAAGAGGGGGACCUUAGGGCCUCUUGCCAUCGGAUUUGCCCAGAUGGGAUUAGCUAGUAGGUGGGGUAACGGCUCACCUAGGCGACGAUCCCUAGCUGGUCUGAGAGGAUGACCAGCCACACUGGAACUGAGACACGGUCCAGACUCCUACGGGAGGCAGCAGUGGGGAAUAUUGCACAAUGGGCGCAAGCCUGAUGCAGCCAUGCCGCGUGUAUGAAGAAGGCCUUCGGGUUGUAAAGUACUUUCAGCGGGGAGGAAGGGAGUAAAGUUAAUACCUUUGCUCAUUGACGUUACCCGCAGAAGAAGCACCGGCUAACUCCGUG